Ornithodoros turicata is the source of this 844-nucleotide long non-coding RNA. RefSeq lists it as uncharacterized. The transcript has 2 exons. Lineage: Eukaryota; Metazoa; Arthropoda; Arachnida; Ixodida; Argasidae. The record is from RefSeq and is a predicted model, not a curated record.
UCCUUUUGCCUCACUUAAGAUUUGUGCGUUGUUCAUUUUUUUCAACAAUCACAUGUUGUAGAUAUGUGGAGCAAUGACAGCUUUGUAUCUGAGUAAACAGCUGUAGUUUGCUUUACCUGCAGAGUCUGGUGCGUAUCACUGACGAACUCAUGCGAACGGCGGAACUGUGAGAGAUUGUGUGUGUACAGCUACAAAGUGCAAGUCCAAUUCUUCACAUCUCUUUGAUUCAGGAUUUGAUUGGGAAUGAUGAAAGCAAUGGUGAAGCAAAUUCUUUUAACUAUGCGCAGCCUGCUAGUAGAUAAGCUUGGCUCAGCUACAGUUGUCUUUCAUAUAAAGGAUAGCAGUUAUGUUUUCACGUUCGACUGCACUGUUUUUCAAAGUUCCUUGUUUUUUGCAUGACCGCGUAUCUUUCUUAAAUGUCACAUGGACGCGAUGUGACUCUAGAUUAAUAAAACAUGACUGUUUUACAGUAUCCACACACAACCAUGGAUAGCCUCACACAUGUGUAAAGUUACUGGUGUCUCUACAACACUGAAGAGCCAGGCAUAAACCGGAAGACGUCGCUUGGGUCUGCCAGUGAUUAGGCUGCUUCCGCAUGUAACCAUCUAUACUGCAUGAGAAACUGCGGGAUGACGGUUGCGAAGUGGCGUAGCAAUCACGUGAUUAUUAUUAUGACCAUUAUUGUCUUAUUAUGCGUCUUAUCCGUGUCACCCUAUAUUGUUAAUAAUUAGCCUAUUUAUGUUGCAAUAUCAUAUUUUGUACUAUUAGAAAGAGCGUUUCUUACAGUGCAUGUAACAUCACUGUACUUGGUUUGUGUUCAAUAAACAAGAGUUCGUUGGUACGA